GUACUGUACUGUCAUUCAGACAGCUGUGGUGUUCCAGGAGAAGGUACUGUUAUUCAGACAGCUGUGGUGUUCCAGGAGAAGGUACUGUACUGUCAUUCAGACAGCUGUGGUGUUACAGGAGAAGGUACUGUACUGUUAUUCAGACAGCUGUGGUGUUCCAGGAGAAGGUACUGUACUGUUAUUCAGACAGCUGUGGUGUUACAGGAGAAUGUACUGUACUGUCAUUCAGACAGCUGUGGUGUUCCAGGAGAAUGUACUGUCAUUCAGACAGCUGUGGUGUUACAGGAGGAGGUACUGUACUGUCAUUCAGACAGCUGUGGUGUUACAGGAGAAGGUACUGUACUGUCAUUCAGACAGCUGUGGUGUUCCAGGAGAAUGUACCGUCAUUCAGACAGCUGUGGUGUUACAGGAGGAGGUACUGUACUGUCAUUUAGACAGCUGUGGUGUUACAGGAGA
Long non-coding RNA from Oncorhynchus keta (chum salmon), 456 nucleotides. RefSeq lists it as uncharacterized. The transcript is spliced from 4 exons. Lineage: Eukaryota; Metazoa; Chordata; Actinopteri; Salmoniformes; Salmonidae. The record is from RefSeq and is a predicted model, not a curated record.